This 604-nucleotide ribosomal RNA is filed under the name Rhizopus microsporus. Its description in RNAcentral is "eukaryotic LSU rRNA". It matches the Rfam family "Eukaryotic large subunit ribosomal RNA", at positions 79 to 618 of the family's 3401-position model. The record is from RNAcentral. Lineage: Eukaryota; Fungi; Mucoromycota; Mucoromycetes; Mucorales; Rhizopodaceae.
CCUAGUAACGGCGAGUGAACAGGAAAAAGCUCAAAGUUGGAACCUGUUUGGCCUAGCUAAACCGGAUUGUAAACUGUAGAAGUGUUUUCCAGGCAAGCCGGACCGAUAAGUCCUUUGGAACAGGGCAUCAUAGAGGGUGAGAAUCCCGUCUUCGGUCUGAGCAUUUGCCUUUUGCGAUACACUUUCAAAGAGUCAGGUUGUUUGGGAAUGCAGCCUAAAUUGGGUGGUAAAUCUCACCUAAAGCUAAAUAUUGGCGAGAAACCGAUAGCGAACAAGUACCGUGAGGGAAAGAUGAAAAGAACUUUGAAAAGAGAGUUAAACAGUAUGUGAAAUUGUUAAAAGGGAACCGUUUGGAGCCAGACUGGCUUGUCUGUAAUCAGUCUAAGUUUCGGCUUGGAUGCACUUGCAGGCUAUGCCUGCCAACGACAAUUUGGCUUGAGGGAAAAAACUAGGGGAAAUGUGGCCCAUCCGUGGGUGUUAUAGUCCCUUAGAAAAUACCUUGGGCUGGAUUGAGGUACGCAGCGAAUGCUAUUUGGCGAGUUGGCUGGGAAUAUUUUCUGAGGUGCUCUGGUACUGAGGUUGAUACUCCUAGUUACACUUCUAU